UCCCUGGUGGUUCGGUGGUUAGGACUCUGCACUUCCACUGCAAGGGGCCUGGGUUCAAUCCCCAGUCAGGGAA
Molecule: non-coding RNA, 73 nt
Organism: Bos taurus (domestic cattle)
Lineage: Eukaryota; Metazoa; Chordata; Mammalia; Artiodactyla; Bovidae
Source: Rfam